RNAcentral lists this ribosomal RNA (414 nucleotides) under uncultured bacterium. RNAcentral describes it as "partial 16S ribosomal RNA". It matches the Rfam family "Bacterial small subunit ribosomal RNA", at positions 355 to 781 of the family's 1533-position model. The record is from RNAcentral.
UGGGGAAUAUUGCACAAUGGGCGAAAGCCUGAUGCAGCGACGCCGCGUGAGGGAUGACGGCCUUCGGGUUGUAAACCUCUUUCAGCAGGGAAGAAGCGAAAGUGACGGUACCUGCAGAAGAAGCGCCGGCUAACUACGUGCCAGCAGCCGCGGUAAUACGUAGGGCGCAAGCGUUGUCCGGAAUUAUUGGGCGUAAAGAGCUCGUAGGCGGUUAGUCGCGUCUGCUGUGAAAACUCGAGGCUCAACCUCGGGCUUGCAGUGGGUACGGGCUGACUAGAGUGCGGUAGGGGUGACUGGAAUUCCUGGUGUAGCGGUGGAAUGCGCAGAUAUCAGGAGGAACACCGAUGGCGAAGGCAGGUCACUGGGCCGCAACUGACGCUGAGGAGCGAAAGCAUGGGGAGCGAACAGGAUUAG